CGCACAUUGCGCCCACCAGUAUUCUGGUGGGCAUGCCUGUUCGAGCGUCAUUUCAACCCUCAAGCCCUGCUGCUUGGUGUUGGGAGACUACGUCCGUAGCUCCCCAAAGUUAGUGGCGGAGUCGGUAUCGGCCCUGAGCGUAGUAGUUACAUCUCGCUUUUGAGCCGUGCCGCCCCCUGCCGUAAAACCCCCCAAUUUCUAAAGGUUGACCUCGGAUCAGGUAGGAAUACCCGCUGAACUUAA
This 243-nucleotide unclassified non-coding RNA is filed under the name Astrocystis mirabilis. RNAcentral describes it as "partial contains 5.8S ribosomal RNA, internal transcribed spacer 2, and large subunit ribosomal RNA". Lineage: Eukaryota; Fungi; Ascomycota; Sordariomycetes; Xylariales; Xylariaceae. The record is from RNAcentral.